RNAcentral lists this ribosomal RNA (466 nucleotides) under uncultured Acidobacteriota bacterium. RNAcentral's name for it is "bacterial SSU rRNA". It matches the Rfam family "Bacterial small subunit ribosomal RNA", at positions 338 to 795 of the family's 1533-position model. Lineage: Bacteria; Pseudomonadati; Acidobacteriota. The record is from RNAcentral.
CCUACGGGAGGCAGCAGUGGGGAAUUGUUCGCAAUGGGCGCAAGCCUGACGACGCAACGCCGCGUGGGGGAUGAAGGUCUUCGGAUUGUAAACCCCUGUCGAGCGGGACGAACGGCCCGUGGUUUAACACAUCAUGGGAGUGACGGUACCGCUAAAGGAAGCCACGGCUAACUCUGUGCCAGCAGCCGCGGUAAUACAGAGGUGGCAAGCGUUGUUCGGAAUUACUGGGCGUAAAGGGCGCGUAGGCGGUUUUCUAAGUCGGACGUGAAAUCCCCAGGCUUAACCUGGGAACUGCGUCCGAUACUGGGAGACUUGAGUUCGGGAGAGGGAUGUAGAAUUCCAGGUGUAGCGGUGAAAUGCGUAGAUAUCUGGAGGAAUACCGGUGGCGAAGGCGGCAUCCUGGACCGAAACUGACGCUGAGGCGCGAAAGCUAGGGUAGCAAACGGGAUUAGAUACCCUAGUAGUC